RNAcentral lists this transfer RNA (72 nucleotides) under Hemibagrus spilopterus. Its description in RNAcentral is "tRNA-Asp". It matches the Rfam family "tRNA". Rfam says of the family: Transfer RNA (tRNA) molecules are approximately 80 nucleotides in length. Their secondary structure includes four short double-helical elements and three loops (D, anti-codon, and T loops). Lineage: Eukaryota; Metazoa; Chordata; Actinopteri; Siluriformes; Bagridae. RNAcentral also lists the same sequence under 1 other name. The record is from RNAcentral.
AAGAUACUAGUAAAACGAAUAUAACAUUGCCUUGUCAAGACAAAAUUGUAGGUUAAAAUCCUGCGUAUCUUA